This 1373-nucleotide long non-coding RNA is filed under the name Diabrotica virgifera virgifera (western corn rootworm). Its description in RNAcentral is "uncharacterized LOC126884487". Lineage: Eukaryota; Metazoa; Arthropoda; Insecta; Coleoptera; Chrysomelidae. The record is from RNAcentral.
UCGUUGAUUUAAAUAAAUAUUGAAACUCAGGCAACACUGCUGAUGGUAACAACAAUUUGCAUUAGAAGUAAUUUUUUUCUCUCUCUGUUAAUAGUUCUAUCCCUUCUACUGGAGUAUUAUGAAUGUACAAGUUGGCUAACUUGAUAGACAGCUGAUUAUACAGUGUUGCCUUGUUGCCUAAGUUUCAGUAUAUAUCGUUAAACCAAUUAUAAUUUACUAUUUUAUUUGGCUAUCAGCCACAAUUUAAGUGUGAAAUUAAAUUUAUUUGGCGUUUUAUCCUAAGUUGCCAUAAGAAAAUAGCUUCAGAACAAUACAGUAUAAAAUUGUUUGAAAUAAGUUACGUUUUUAAGUAAAUAUUUAUAAAUAAUAUGUAAUAAUUCAUCUCGAUGGCUUCCAUUAACGUUUUAUUCACUUAGUAGGUAUAACUUUCAGCAUUUAUUAACAUUGUAAUAAUAAGCAGCUUACUUUGAAAUUAACUAUUGAACUUGUUAUUUGAAAAUUAUCAAUACAAUUCUGAUUGAAAACAAACAUAUUCUGUAACAAGUUGCUUAUUUUGGAAGCUAGCUUAUUUUCUGGGUUGCAAAUUGCAAUGCAAUUAUCAAACCUCGCUACCGUAUCAGCGAUUUAAAGGACGAAUCCUGCUUUGUUUUAUUUCUUAUAUUCAAUCUUUUAUAUUUUGAAACAAGGUGGAUAACAGAAAACAAACGUAAUUUUUAAAAUGUGGUUGCAUUAAAAAACAACGUGUACUACUUAUAUAGGUAUUUAUGGACAAACUAGGGAUUCCAAAAAGGUAAUUUGCAUGAUAAUAAUGACGAUUGGGUACGUAGAUCUUAUCAAACAAGAAAAUACAGAACGAUAUUAAAUAUAUAGAUAGAGUGAGAUCGACAGACAGAAUAAGUCUUCUUAACAGACCUUAAGCUGCGACAGAAACAUCCUGUUAUGGCUGUUACUCAUCUCAUACUAAUGGCACCAGUGGCGCACCCAGGGGGUGGUUUGGGUGUUAAAACCCCUCCCACCGGCCACCAGUACAUACAAAGAAUAGUAGGAAAAUACAAAUCGGAGAUCCAAAAGUUUUUUUGAUCCAAAAUUGAGUGAUUUGAAAUGGAAUCACCCGUAAUUAUAUGGUAUAAGUUCUUGGCUUGUGGCAGGUGUCGUCCAUUGACGAUUGACGACUCUCUGGAAUUGACCUAGCAGCUUGGUCUUCUGGCCAGUCUUUUUAGGCUUAGGAGUCUGUCAAUCACUGGAGGGUUUUGAAUUUUAAACUUUAUCGCAGAGUAAAUGUUGAAAAAUACUUUUUAUUGUACCUAUUAUAUUAUAUAAACAAUGAAAUAUUAUUCUGGUCCAGAUAAUAAAAAUAUUAUUUAUAACAAUUA